RNAcentral lists this ribosomal RNA (250 nucleotides) under uncultured Nocardioides sp. RNAcentral's name for it is "partial 16S ribosomal RNA". It matches the Rfam family "Bacterial small subunit ribosomal RNA", at positions 524 to 773 of the family's 1533-position model. Lineage: Bacteria; Bacillati; Actinomycetota; Actinomycetes; Propionibacteriales; Nocardioidaceae. The record is from RNAcentral.
UACGUAGGGUCCGAGCGUUGUCCGGAAUUAUUGGGCGUAAAGGGCUCGUGGGCGGUCUGUCGCGUCGGGAGUGAAAACUCGGAGCUUAACUCCGAGCCUGCUUCCGAUACGGGCAGACUAGAGGUAUGCAGGGGAGAACGGAAUUCCUGGUGUAGCGGUGAAAUGCGCAGAUAUCAGGAGGAACACCGGUGGCGAAGGCGGUUCUCUGGGCAUCACCUGACGCUGAGGAGCGAAAGUGUGGGGAGCGAAC